GUUUCUCUUCCUCCCGGAGUCCGUCCCAUCACUUGUAAGUGGGUCUACAAGGUUAAGACUCGCUCCGAUGGUUCUCUUGAGCGUCACAAAGCUCGUCUCGUGGCUCGUGGUUUUCAGCAGGAGCAUGGUCGUGAUUAUGACGAGACUUUUGCUCCUGUGGCCCAUAUGACCACUAUUCGUACACUUCUUGCUGUUGCCUCUGCACGCCACUGGUCUAUAUCUCAGCUUGAUGUUAAGAAUGCCUUUCUUAAUGGUGAGCUGCGUGAGGAGGUGUACAUGCAGCCACCACCUGGGUAUUCUGUUCCUGAUGGCAUGGUGUGUCGUCUUCGUCGCUCUCUCUAUGGCCUUAAGCAAGCCCCUCGCGCCUGGUUUGAGCGUUUUGCUUCUGUGGUCACUACUGCUGGUUUUUCAGCAAGUGCUCAUGAUCCCGCAUUGUUUAUUCACCUUUCUCCUCGUGGCCGGACUCUUCUUCUUCUCUAUGUUGAUGAUAUGGUCAUCACUGGGGAUGACCCCGAGUAUAUUGCCUUUGUAAAGGCCCGUCUUAGUGAGCAGUUUCUUAUGUCUGAUCUUGGACCUCUUCGCUAUUUUCUUGGGAUUGAAGUCUCUUCUACCUCUGAUGGCUUUUUUAUAUCCCAGGAAAAGUAUAUCCAGGAUCUUCUUGCUCGUGCUGCUCUUUCUGACGAGCGCACUGUUGAGACUCCUAUGGAGCUCAAUGUUCACCUCCGUGCUACUGAUGGUGAUCCUCUCCCUGACCCGACGCGUUAUCGUCAUCUUGUUGGCAGUCUUGUCUAUCUAGCUGUCACUCGUCCGGACAUCUCUUAUCCGGUUCAUAUUCUGAGUCAGUUUGUUUCUGCUCCCACAUCGGUUCAUUAUAGUCAUCUCCUUCGUGUUCUCCGAUAUCUUCGGGGCACGAUCUCUCACCGUCUCUUCUUUCCUAGCUCCAGUUCUUUACAGCUUCAGGCCUAUGCGGAUGCUACGUGGGCUAGUGAUCCUUCUGAUCGCCGUUCGCUUUCUGCUUACUGUGUUUUUCUUGGCGGUUCUCUCAUUGCCUGGAAGACGAAGAAACAGAUUGCAGUUUCCCGUUCGAGUGCUGAGGCUGAGUUGCGAGCUAUGGCUCUUUUGACG
This 1125-nucleotide ribosomal RNA is filed under the name Triticum aestivum (bread wheat). RNAcentral's name for it is "partial small subunit ribosomal RNA". The record is from RNAcentral. Lineage: Eukaryota; Viridiplantae; Streptophyta; Magnoliopsida; Poales; Poaceae.